This 465-nucleotide ribosomal RNA is filed under the name uncultured bacterium. RNAcentral's name for it is "partial 16S ribosomal RNA". It matches the Rfam family "Bacterial small subunit ribosomal RNA", at positions 28 to 507 of the family's 1533-position model. The record is from RNAcentral.
GACGAACGCUGGCGGCGUGCUUAACACAUGCAAGUCGAACGGAAAGGCCCUGCUUGCAGGGUACUCGAGUGGCGAACGGGUGAGUAACACGUGGGUGAUCUGCCCUGCACUUCGGGAUAAGCCUGGGAAACUGGGUCUAAUACCGGAUAGGAGCCAUUUUUAGUGUGAUGGUUGGAAAGUUUUUUCGGUGUAGGAUGAGCUCGCGGCCUAUCAGCUUGUUGGUGGGGUAAUGGCCUACCAAGGCGGCGACGGGUAGCCGGCCUGUGAGGGUGGACGGCCACACUGGGACUGAGAUACGGCACAGACUCCUACGGGAGGCAGCAGUGGGGAAUAUUGCACAAUGGGCGCAAGCCUGAUGCAGCGACGCCGCGUGGGGGAUGACGGCCUUCGGGUUGUAAACUCCUUUCGCUAGGGACGAAGCUUUUUGUGACGGUACCUAGAUAAGAAGCACCGGCUAACUACGUG